Long non-coding RNA from Ornithorhynchus anatinus (platypus), 250 nucleotides. RefSeq lists it as uncharacterized. The record is from RefSeq and is a predicted model, not a curated record. The transcript is spliced from 3 exons. Lineage: Eukaryota; Metazoa; Chordata; Mammalia; Monotremata; Ornithorhynchidae.
AAAGGUCUCAAGGUUCAAGAUGGCAGUUUAAGACCACUAAUUUACUUUGCAACAAAUAUAGGGUGUGCGGCUGGACUGGGGCCUCCUGACCAAGGGAAGGAUCUACAAGGGCAGGACAACAGGCAAGGUCGUCUACCAUUGUGGUGUGCAGUGAGGAAGCCGAAAGCUGAUAGAGCAAAACAUGUUUUCCCUUUUUGCAAGACAUCUGUAGGAACUGUUUGAAUCAAUUAUUGGAAAACAUGAAAAUAAA